Molecule: long non-coding RNA, 1277 nt
Organism: Panicum virgatum (switchgrass)
Lineage: Eukaryota; Viridiplantae; Streptophyta; Magnoliopsida; Poales; Poaceae
Exons: 4
Source: RefSeq, a predicted model, not a curated record
GGGAGGCGCGCGCCUGGGAAGAAGGAGGAUCUGCGUCGCCGGCGGUGGGGGGUGGGGCGGCGCGCUGAACACGUUUGGGGGCGGAGGCGUCGCGUGCGAGAGAGAGGGCGCGGGGGGUGACCUAAACGCGACUAAUUUCCAUCGGCCGACUUCAAGCUGACGAAAAUUAAUGGCAAAAUUAGCCCGUGGACACUCUUCGAUUGGUGCUUUUGCUGCAGCACACUAACAAAAAAUGGUUUGGCCACAGCACAUUGGCCAACUUGUCUAUUUGCUGCUAGACACCGGACUCCAUAUUUUACUCAGUUAAAUUGUAAAGGCAGCUGGAAUGACAGAUUUACCCCGUUGCCUUUUCCUCUCCCAACUCAUUCGCUACUUGCCUUCUCAGGGAUGGCUGCUCGCAAGAGAGAAGCGACGGGGGUCGCUGCUGCAUCCCAGGCAGCGCCGCCCUGGCCACCGGCGCGCAGCCCCUCCGGCGGAUCUCCUCCCCCAACCCACCUCACUCGCGGCGCAGGGUUGUGCUUGAUGGGCGACAACAACUGGAGGUUGGAGGCACGAGACCUUGGCCUACCAGAGGUACAGUGCGACCACACCAAGCGGCAGUUGGUAGAAGAUGGAGGCUCCACGAUUUCUCAACGAGAUUUUUCCAGAGGAUCAAAUGAUCUUUCAUGGGUUUUCGAUGGGAUGGAUCCCAAUUCGUCCUAUAGGCUUGUUGUGCGUGUCGGUGCUUAUGUGAAAUUGACUGAUGAUGGCGGCAGCAAAACAUGCCUUGUGUGUUGCAGGGAAGCACCAAAACCUUAGAUGCCCAAAUUAUUGCAGUAUCUUCAUCUGAAACUACACCAUCCCUUUUGGAGCCUCUAGUUUAGGAAACUGUCGAAGUAGCCCAGUGACAAGAAGUAUGUCAAGAAAAAUACUGGAAUAUGACUUGUCUACACCAACUAGAGCCAUGACACUAGUUUCUACACCAAGCCCUGUCACAAGAAGUCGUAAGAGGAUACUUGAACUUGAAGACACUAUAGAGCCUGUUCAAUGUCUUGCUUUAUCCCCGAUUCCUAUCAACGGCAAGGGAAAGCCAAAAAAAAUGAAGGUUGUCAGAUCCAAGAAAACAUAAGUUAUGUAGUGAUAUUUUUCUGUAAUGUUGCUGUUCAAAGCAUGACCUUGUAAUAUGUGGUCUUGUAAUGUGUGGAUCUAUGGUUGGAGCAUGAUAUUUUGUUGGACCUGCUACUUCCGUUUGAAUCUGUAAUAUUAUUUUAAGAUAAAAUAUUGUUCACUUGCUCUAU